Molecule: ribosomal RNA, 519 nt
Filed under: uncultured alga
Lineage: Eukaryota
Description: bacterial SSU rRNA
Rfam family: Bacterial small subunit ribosomal RNA
Source: RNAcentral
CUGACGAAGCAAACCGCAUGAAUUUUGAAGGCCUAUGGGGUCGUAAACUUCUUUUCUCAGAGAAGAAUUUUGACGGUAUCUGACGAAUAAGCAUCGGCUAACUCUGUGCCAGCAGCCGCGGUAAGACAGAGGAUGCAAGCGUUAUCCGGAAUGAUUGGGCGUAAAGCGUCUGUAGGUGGUUUCACAAGUCUUCUGUCAAAGAUCAGGGCUUAACCCUGGGCAGGCAGGAGAAACUAUGAGGCUUGAUUUCGGUAGGGGCAGAGGGAAUUCCCGGUGGAGCGGUGAAAUGCGUACAUAUCGGGAGGAACACCAAAGGCGAAAGCACUCUGCUGGGCCGCGACUGACACUGACAGACGAAAGCGAGGGGAGCAAAUGGGAUUAGAUACCCCAGUAGUCCUCGCCGUAAACGAUGGAUACUAGGUGUUGGAUGUAUUCAAAUCAUUCAGUACCGUAGCUAACGCGUUAAGUAUCCCGCCUGGGGAGUAUGCUCGCAAGAGUGAAACUCAAAUGAAUUGACGG